RNAcentral lists this ribosomal RNA (553 nucleotides) under Stemphylium sp. MAFF 731070. Its description in RNAcentral is "eukaryotic LSU rRNA". The stretch from base 192 to 345 matches the Rfam family "5.8S ribosomal RNA". The record is from RNAcentral. Lineage: Eukaryota; Fungi; Ascomycota; Dothideomycetes; Pleosporales; Pleosporaceae.
UGCGGAGGGAUCAUUACACAAUAUGAAAGCGGGUUGGGACCUCACCUCGGUGAGGGCUCCAGCUUGUCUGAAUUAUUCACCCAUGUCUUUUGCGCACUUCUUGUUUCCUGGGCGGGUUCGCCCGCCACCAGGACCAAACCAUAAACCUUUUUGUAAUUGCAAUCAGCGUCAGUAAACAAUGUAAUUAUUACAACUUUCAACAACGGAUCUCUUGGUUCUGGCAUCGAUGAAGAACGCAGCGAAAUGCGAUACGUAGUGUGAAUUGCAGAAUUCAGUGAAUCAUCGAAUCUUUGAACGCACAUUGCGCCCUUUGGUAUUCCAAAGGGCAUGCCUGUUCGAGCGUCAUUUGUACCCUCAAGCUUUGCUUGGUGUUGGGCGUCUUUGUCUCUCACGAGACUCGCCUUAAAAUGAUUGGCAGCCGACCUACUGGUUUCGGAGCGCAGCACAAUUCUUGCACUUUGAAUCAGCCUUGGUUGAGCAUCCAUCAAGACCACAUUUUCUUAACUUUUGACCUCGGAUCAGGUAGGGAUACCCGCUGAACUUAAGCAUAUCA